This 468-nucleotide ribosomal RNA is filed under the name uncultured bacterium. Its description in RNAcentral is "partial 16S ribosomal RNA". It matches the Rfam family "Bacterial small subunit ribosomal RNA", at positions 28 to 507 of the family's 1533-position model. The record is from RNAcentral.
GACGAACGCUGGCGGCGUGCUUAACACAUGCAAGUCGAACGGAAAGGCCCUGCUUUUGUGGGGUGCUCGAGUGGCGAACGGGUGAGUAACACGUGAGUAACCUGCCCUUGACUUUGGGAUAACUUCAGGAAACUGGGGCUAAUACCGGAUAGGAGCUCCUGCUGCAUGGUGGGGGUUGGAAAGUUUCGGCGGUUGGGGAUGGACUCGCGGCUUAUCAGCUUGUUGGUGGGGUAGUGGCUUACCAAGGCUUUGACGGGUAGCCGGCCUGAGAGGGUGACCGGCCACAUGGGGACUGAGAUACGGCCCAGACGCCUACGGGAGGCAGCAGUGGGGAAUAUUGCACAAUGGGCGGAAGCCUGAUGCAGCAACGCCGCGUGCGGGAUGACGGCCUUCGGGUUGUAAACCGCUUUCGCCUGUGACGAAGCGUGAGUGACGGUAAUGUGUAAAGAAGCACCGGCUAACUACGUG